RNAcentral lists this transfer RNA (109 nucleotides) under Corynespora cassiicola Philippines. It matches the Rfam family "tRNA". From Rfam's summary of the family: Transfer RNA (tRNA) molecules are approximately 80 nucleotides in length. Lineage: Eukaryota; Fungi; Ascomycota; Dothideomycetes; Pleosporales; Corynesporascaceae. The record is from Rfam by way of RNAcentral.
GCAUCGGUGGUUUAGUGGUAAAAUUAGCCGUUGCCAUAACACAUCAGGAAGCAAUUCCUAGAUGUAUUGUACAAUCGGCUAGCCCCGGGUUCGAUUCCCGGCCGAUGCA